Long non-coding RNA from Symphalangus syndactylus (siamang), 1330 nucleotides. RefSeq lists it as uncharacterized. NCBI's taxonomy places the organism in Eukaryota, Metazoa, Chordata, Mammalia, Primates, Hylobatidae. The record is from RefSeq and is a predicted model, not a curated record.
ACUUUCUUCUCAUCCUUCUUGGCUCUGAUGAAGUAAGCUACCACAUGGCAUAGUCCAGUGGCAAGAAAAUGAGGGCAACCAACAGGCAGCAAUGAACUGAGGCUUUCAAUGACAGAGGCAAGGAACUGAAUCCUACCAACAACCACAUGACCUUGAAAGAGGAUCCUUCCCUGUUUGAGCUUCAGGCAAAGAAGAUUUGAAUCUGAGACACUGUAAAACUUGAAACAGAGUUUACAAUCUGUGCUUGAGGAUCCCAAAGACACCAUUCAACACAUCUCACUAUCCUCUAACAAGGACUGCCCUGUGACACAUCUGAAAGAGAAGCGACAAUUUUAUUCAGACUCUUAAUGGACUGGCCCUCUAUUUGGGCAACUGCAUAAUAUCUAGAUCUUUGAUAUCAUAUCUGAGAACAAAAUGUUGUCAACUGUGCAGGAACCAAAUUAUCCUGGGAUAUAGUAAAAUAAACCACCAACUACCUUUUCCUAUUUAUCAAGCAGAGCAAAAUGAUAUUGCUUCCUUUAAAUCUGGGUUGUUUCCCUUUUUUCUUACCUAACCAGCCCUUCAACCUGGGGCUGGAACUGAUUGGGACUUUAAAAUGCUUUGUUACCAUUCAUUCUUUAAUAAGCACAAUGGUUUACUCCCUUUUGAGGCAGGGGCCCCGUGUAAUGAGUCAAUGCUUCUGCUAACUCCAAGAACCCUUAAUUAUUUCCACCAUUUUCUCCAUAUGUUUCCUUCACCGACUGUGCGAAUCAGAGGCAGGCUGCUGGUUGUCAGAGACUGGAAAAGUCACUGGCCUUCCUUGUUGGCAGGGAACUGAAUUCUGCAGGGUCUGUAUUCAUGGACAGAGUAUCCUAUCUCAGAGUUUAUGCAGCACCUUCUGUUUUUAGUUUACUGGUGAACGGGGCACAUCACAAGAACUUCGAGUGCAGCUAAAGCCAAAUCAGACUUGACAGAAAAUUAUUAGCAGGGUACAGAAGGAAAAAAGAUCCCCCUUCCUUUCUGUAAUCAGGUUAAUAUGUGCAUGGAAUGUUUCACUUAAAAAGGUAGUGUGUUUUGGCAAAGCUGGUUUCUUAAGUAAAAUUUCAGUUCCCAUUAUGCAAGGCUAUCCAUUGCUGCUCUGGCAGAGCCUUUGAUCAGUGAACUCAGUGGGGGAGAAGGGCAUAGGCAUAUUAAUAACUUCAACAUGUGGCCCUUCGGCCCAGCUGCACCCUGUCUUGGAAAACGGCCAACUGGAAAGGGUUUUCUUAACACGACUUGUAUAUGCAUAUUUUGGAAAGGGGAAAGGGUAGGUAGGAGUUCGAAGGAGGAAAUAAAAUCUGGUUUUAUUGUG